GACGAACGCUGGCGGCGUGCCUAAUACAUGCAAGUCGAGCGGACUUAAAAAGCUUGCUUUUUAAGUUAGCGGCGGACGGGUGAGUAACACGUGGGCAACCUGCCUGUAAGACUGGGAUAACUUCGGGAAACCGGAGCUAAUACCGGAUAAUCCUUUCCUACUCAUGUAGGAAAGCUGAAAGACGGUUUACGCUGUCACUUACAGAUGGGCCCGCGGCGCAUUAGCUAGUUGGUGAGGUAACGGCUCACCAAGGCGACGAUGCGUAGCCGACCUGAGAGGGUGAGCGGCCACACUGGGACGGAGACACGGCCCAGACUCCUACGGGAGGCAGCAGUAGGGAAUCUUCCGCAAUGGACGAAAGUCUGACGGAGCAACGCCGCGUGAGUGAUGAAGGUUUUCGGAUCGUAAAACUCUGUUGUUAGGGAAGAACAAGUACGAGAGUAACUGCUCGUACCUUGACGGUACCUAACCAGAAAGCCACGGCUAACUACGUGCCAGCCGCCGCGGUAA
RNAcentral lists this ribosomal RNA (510 nucleotides) under uncultured bacterium. Its description in RNAcentral is "partial 16S ribosomal RNA". It matches the Rfam family "Bacterial small subunit ribosomal RNA", at positions 28 to 523 of the family's 1533-position model. The record is from RNAcentral.